GGGCCCGUAGCGUAGCUAGGAAAGCGCGACGGCCUGCGGAGCCGUAGGUCCCGGGUUCAAGUCCCGGCGGGCCCG
RNAcentral lists this transfer RNA (75 nucleotides) under Thermoprotei archaeon. RNAcentral describes it as "tRNA-Arg". It matches the Rfam family "tRNA". Rfam says of the family: Transfer RNA (tRNA) molecules are approximately 80 nucleotides in length. Their secondary structure includes four short double-helical elements and three loops (D, anti-codon, and T loops). Further hydrogen bonds mediate the characteristic L-shaped molecular structure. tRNAs have two regions of fundamental functional importance: the anti-codon, which is responsible for specific mRNA codon recognition, and the 3' end, to which the tRNAs corresponding amino acid is attached (by aminoacyl-tRNA synthetases). tRNAs cope with the degeneracy of the genetic code in two manners: having more than one tRNA (with a specific anti-codon) for a particular amino acid; and 'wobble' base-pairing, i.e. permitting non-standard base-pairing at the 3rd anti-codon position. The record is from RNAcentral. Lineage: Archaea; Thermoproteati; Thermoproteota; Thermoprotei.